Molecule: ribosomal RNA, 2181 nt
Filed under: Triticum aestivum (bread wheat)
Lineage: Eukaryota; Viridiplantae; Streptophyta; Magnoliopsida; Poales; Poaceae
Description: partial small subunit ribosomal RNA
Source: RNAcentral
AUGAAUGAGUUCUGUGGGAUGGAGCAGCAAGAAUCCAUCGACAUGGCAGCUGCAUGGGAGGCUCUCUGCCCCUUGCUGAAGCUGAAUAACCUGCGGAGAACCAUCCACCAGGCGGAGGCUUUCACGUCGGGGAUCAUAUUCCUGCUGCUCCUGCAGCUCCUCCUCGGUUCCUUCAGACGACAGUCGGCCAGCUUCUUGGUCCAAGCUGGUACGUGGGUGACCUACACUCUGUCCUUCCCGGCCAUCGCCUACACCCUGGGCUUGAUGCAGUCCUCUCUGGUGAAGAAUGUCAUGUGCCCCAUCUGGGCUGUCUCAUUGCUGAUGGCCGCUGGGUGCACCAACGCCGUCAAGGUCUACGAGCUCAACGACAACCGGCAAUGGAAGCGAACCUUUUUCAAUUUUUACCAGUAUGCCUUCUAUGCUUCGUUUAUCUGGCUGCUAUUAUUUCCCUGUAGCAUGAACAUGAAAGAGUGUCUCUACCAAUUAUACCACAAUUUUUCACCGUCGACCUACUUUGCACCUUUCAAGACUCCUGGAGGUGUUGUCUAUCUUCUGGGUAUCUUUGCUGUGUCUACGGGUCUCAUGGGUAGAGAGCUCGCAUGCGUGUUGGUUGAGUUCGGCUAUCUCAGAGCCAGAAGAGUUGUCAAGUUCAUGAAGAACCUGCCUGCUAAUGAUGGUGAUGGGUUCGACCCUGCCACCAUGAAAGGCUACAAGUACCCUGUUCACAUUUUUGGAUUUGGUGAUGACGUCACCAUUGACCAGAUCUGGCACUGUGAAGGUAGACUCCUCAGCUCAGGUACGGAUCACUGCAAUGAGCUCAAGGAUUCAUGCCUGGCUUAUGCCAUGUUUCAGCUACUGAAGCGGCGCUACUACGGGAUGUCAUUCGCCGAGGAACACCGUGACGAAACCCGUGAUUUUGCCUUCAAGGGAUUGCUACAGAAAGAAGAUGACUAUGAGAGAGCUUUCCGUAUUGUUGAAAUGGAGUUGGGAUUCUGCCAUGACUACUUUUUCACUAAAUAUGCCAUCAUCUUUGAGCUAGAGGCAGCAUUCUUCUUUCUCUUCAUUGUGAGGAUUGUUCUCAUUGCCACAUGUCUAUCCUUUGUCGCGAAGAGUACACUAUCUGUCAGGACAAUCAGCCCUAUCAUUGAAGUGCACACCAAAAAGAUUGACGGCACCAUCACUCUUCUUGUUUUGGCCACAUUCCUGCUCAUAGAAUUUGUUCAAGUUGCAUUUUAUUUGGCCUCAGAUUGGUGCAAGGUGUCUGUUACUUGUAGGUAUGUCAAAAGAUCUUGUUAUCAGCGCAGUGCUUUCAUCGAGAAGCUUAUCGGCUAUAUUAGCAGAUUUACAAUAUUCGGGUACUGGAAGAAUAAGAUUGGCCAGUACUCGAUAAUUCCGCACAUCACCGCCGCUGAUUUUUCUAGGGACAGUCACCCAGUAAACAUGUUGCAAACAGUCAAGCGGGCUAUUGCAAGGUCCCUAAUAGCAUGUGACGGUCCACCAACUAAUGGGGAAGGGUCACUACUGAGAAAUGGUGUGUAUGCAGAGUUCUCUUGGGCUUUGCAGGGUCGAUCUCAAGCAGAGAUAAUGUUAGUUUGGAACAUCGCCACUGAUUACUGCAAUAUGACUCCCGCUACCGGAGACGGGGAGCACGUGAGUGGGGCAUCUGAAAAUGAACAAGACACAAAGUUCAACAGGAAUGUUUCAGUCAGCCUGUCAAGAUAUUGUGCAUACUUGAUGAACUCUGCCCCUGAAUUACUUCCAGGAUACUUUGGAGAUACAAAGUUGGCCAUGGUUGAUGUACAUUGCGAAGCAAAAGAAGUUCUAAGAUCCCGGAGUGUUUCUUCCGGCCGAAAUAUUUACCAGGCUAUGAAUGGUUUACAAGACCAAGAGGAACAAGACAUGAGCAUCUUCAUGAGAGGUGUGAAGCUUGGAAAGCAGCUAGAGCUCAUGCCGAGCAGUGCUGUUCGUUGCAAGAUACUCGCGGAUUUCUGGGCUGAGAAGAUCCUCUACAUCGCACCAUCUGAUAAUGUGAAAGGGCACAUGGAACUUCUCGCAAAAGGAGGGGAGCUUCUCACCCACAUCUGGGUCCUCCUUACUCAUGCCGGCAUCCUCAAGAUUAACAGGGAGGAAGAUAACAACGCUGUGCCCAGGCGCCAGCCAUCAUCCCGAGAAGAUGUGUAG